GUGGUAAGACUAUUUCCUGAGAGGAGCAUUCUGAUCAAACCAGAAUAUGUCUAAAAACUUCAGCAUGCAGAAUGCUUUGAUGUGUUGUGGAAAAAAGUUUGCAGCAAGAUUUGUGUUUCUACAGUAAGUACACACAAAAGCUGUAGCUUUUCAGAUGGAAUUCUAGGUCAGAGUUGAAGAACUGCCAAGAGAUUUUGCAUGCAGAAAGAUGUUGUUAGAACAGAGUGCAAAUGGCUCAACUUGUUGAAACAAGUCAAAAC
This 260-nucleotide long non-coding RNA is filed under the name Anas platyrhynchos (mallard). RNAcentral describes it as "lncRNA (ENSAPLG00020002646.1)". Lineage: Eukaryota; Metazoa; Chordata; Aves; Anseriformes; Anatidae. The record is from RNAcentral.